RNAcentral lists this transfer RNA (87 nucleotides) under Candidatus Sumerlaeia bacterium. RNAcentral's name for it is "tRNA-Leu". It matches the Rfam family "tRNA". Rfam says of the family: Transfer RNA (tRNA) molecules are approximately 80 nucleotides in length. Their secondary structure includes four short double-helical elements and three loops (D, anti-codon, and T loops). Lineage: Bacteria; Candidatus Sumerlaeota; Candidatus Sumerlaeia. The record is from RNAcentral.
GCGCGAGUGGCGGAAUUGGCAGACGCACCAGCUUGAGGGGCUGGCGAGGGCAACCUCGUGGGGGUUCAAAUCCCCCCUCGCGCACCA